AGCAGCCGCGGUAAUUCCAGCUCCAAUAGCGUAUAUUAAAGUUGUUGCAGUUAAAAAGCUCGUAGUUGAACUUCGGGAUUUGUUCGUUGGUCAGGCUUCACUGUCUGUACUGGUGUUACGAAUUCCUACCUUCUGACGAAUCUUCAUGCCAUUCACUUGGUGCGGAGGGGAAUCAGGACUGUUACUUUGAAAAAUUAGAGUGUUUAAAGCAAGCUAUUGCUCGAAUAUAUUAGCAUGGAAUAAUAAAAUAGGACGGUUGGUUCUAUUUUGUUGGUUUCUAGGAUCACCGUAAUGAUUAAUAGGGAUAGUUGGGGGCAUUAGUAUUCAAUUGUCAGAGGUGAAAUUCUUGGAUUUAUUGAAGACUAACUACUGCGAAAGCAUUUGCCAAGGAUGUUUUCAUUAAUCAAGAACGAAAGUUAGGGGAUCGAAGACGAUCAGAUACCGUCGUAG
Molecule: ribosomal RNA, 450 nt
Filed under: uncultured Glomeromycotina
Lineage: Eukaryota; Fungi; Glomeromycota
Description: SSU rRNA
Rfam family: Eukaryotic small subunit ribosomal RNA
Source: RNAcentral